Molecule: ribosomal RNA, 250 nt
Filed under: uncultured bacterium
Lineage: Bacteria
Description: partial 16S ribosomal RNA
Rfam family: Bacterial small subunit ribosomal RNA
Source: RNAcentral
GGAAUAUUGGACAAUGGACGAAAGUCUGAUCCAGCAACGCCGCGUGAGCGAUGAAGGCCUUCGGGUCGUAAAGCUCUGUCAGAUGGGACGAAAGAAAUUAACCUAACACGUUAAUUGUUGACGGUACUAUCAAAGGAAGCAUCGGCUAACUCUGUGCCAGCAGCCGCGGUAAGACAGAGGAUGCAAGCGUUGUUCGGAAUUACUGGGCGUAAAGCGCGCGUAGGUGGUCUUGUGUGUCUGGUGUGAAAGC